Molecule: long non-coding RNA, 355 nt
Filed under: Brassica napus (rape)
Lineage: Eukaryota; Viridiplantae; Streptophyta; Magnoliopsida; Brassicales; Brassicaceae
Description: long non-coding RNA (BNAP_LNC003906)
Source: RNAcentral
AAAAAAAGUUCCAAACCUCUCUAACCAUCAUCAUAUAUUAUUUCAUGAUACAACUAUGUAUUAAAACAAUAUUGUCAUAUUUUUUGAAUUUUUUUCAAAAUCUAUGUAUUAACCACUAUAAAAUAUUCAAUUCGGUAAAUGGUUAAUAUACUGAAGCCUAUAAUUUUAAGUGUUGUUUUAAAAUUUCUAACCACAUUCUAUAUUUGUAUUUAUGUAUUCUAAACUCUCUUACAUCGUAAAUAGGCGACAUUCUAUUUUUUAUCUAUUAAUUUUGUAAAACUUCAUAUGCUCUCCAAAUCAGUGGACAAACCACAAUAUAAUCCCUAUUCUAGAGAAAAAGAGAUAACAAAAGUUC